GGCACCGGACGGAGCAAUGGUACCGCUGCAAAACAGCCUCGGGAAGGAUCUUAUUUUGGUGGAACAAAAUUUGUGUUAGUCGUGCAACAGUAAACUCCGAUUAGACAGAUAGUCUAGCCAGCUGUCUGGAUUUACCCUGCAGAGAUCUGAGGAGCAGGUACCCAUAGUCCUCAGAAAUCCACCAGAGUUUAAAAUUACAACACAAAGAAAGG
This is a long non-coding RNA of Etheostoma spectabile (orangethroat darter), 212 nucleotides long. RefSeq lists it as uncharacterized. The transcript is spliced from 3 exons. Lineage: Eukaryota; Metazoa; Chordata; Actinopteri; Perciformes; Percidae. The record is from RefSeq and is a predicted model, not a curated record.